CGAGGAAGCGUAUUCGCGCCUGUUAGGCCGUCCCAGGGGGUUGUCUUGGUUUUUUCAAUAGAGUGUUUAUUUCUUAAUUGAUCUGCUGUUUCGUUUAGCGCUUGCAUGGAGCUCACGCUGGGGCCGUAAUUACUACCGUCGCGGGAACUGGCGCUCCGCUGCGGAGCCGAGAGGGGGCGGGGAGGGCAGGUGAAGUGGAGAGUUGGCAGCGCUAUUUGGCUCAGAACCAGAAGCCAACAAGUCAGAGGGAUUUCAUAUAACUACUUAUAAGCCUCAUGGUAUCGUUGAGUCUGGCUCAAAUACAAGGCAACUAAAGUAGGUUCAAAACAGACAAACUGCUGAGAAGGAAAAUUUGGGGGUAGCCUUGGAGUUAAGAAACAAGCAUUUCCACUUAAUUUUCCAUCAGAAGGUAUCAUGGAAAAGCCAAGCUUCUUUCACAAUUCUUAUGUAAAUAUCUCACUGCUAAUAUUUCUUAUGCUGUUGUCAUUUCAGGGCCAGCACUGAUGAUAUAUAUGAGACAGAUGAACAGAAGGACGGAUAAAAAUAAGGGGAUGGAAAUAAAACUUUGGUCUUGAAAACAGUAAGAGUGAUGGACGUGAGGGGUGAGGGAAAGGAAGAUGGAUAAUAGUUUGUGCUUUUAUCCCAAAGGUUAAUGUGGAGUCUUGAAAAAUAAUUAAACAUGUUUGAGGGAUUGUGUAUAUAAUCUCUGAGGGACCUUAAACUAUGAGAGUGUGAUAACUCAGCUGAUGGCCAGGAAAAAAAAUGGGUUCAUACCAAGUGGAAACAACUUCUUUUAUAUUUUUAUUGUUGAAAAACGUAUUUUGGCUAGCCCUCUUCCAAGAAUUCUGAACUUGGGUUACAUUUCACUCUCAAUUUGGAUUGGAUUUUCUAAAACGGUAUGCAAGACAGCUGUCUGGGAAUUCAAUAAAGCUUGGCUUUCCAGUCCAUCUAAAUGUACAGUCUGAGGCUUAAGGAAAAAUGAUGUGGAAAAGUUUAUGUAUCAAAUUUGACACCAAAGGUGAAAGCAGCAUUGUAUGUCUUGGCGGAUCGAUAAAAUAAUAAUUUUCCUAUUAUCAUCAGCCCAAAUGAAGACUUUUUCAUGGAAAGCUGUUUUUUUGAUCUUUUUGUUUAGGGUUGAAAUAUGUCUGGCCAAAGUCACCCAGCCAUACAAAAAUAGGAAAGAAAAACAAAGAUAUAAAAGGGUAGAAAGGGGGAAAGGACCACUAUAAAUUCAAAUAAAAAUCAUGCCAGAUUUUAAAUAGAACAUUUAAUCAUGAUCACACUGAGUAGUAGUAAUCAGUUCUUUCAUUAUAUCAAUAAAGAGCGAAUCCAUAAUCAGAGAGUGAACACCUAUUAUAAAAUUGCAUAUUUUUUACCAUUUAAGAGAAUUGUUGAAUGCACCACAUGUAUGAUAAAUCAUCAGAACUUUCAUAUGGCUCUUUCUAAAACCCUACUAAUGAACAUGUAUAUUAAAAUAAAAAAGGAUGAUAUACAUCAGUGUUUCCCAAACUUGACAAUUUUAAGGCAUGUGGACUUCAACUCCCAGAAUUCCACAGCCAGACUAGCUGAAACUAUACUUCUGGGAGUUGAAGUCCUCAUGCCUUAAAAUUGUCAAGUUUGGGAAACACUGAUAUACAUGAAUGUCCCGUAUUUUUACUUUUCCAGAAUCACUUUGACUGCCAGGCCUCCAAUAAGCAUAAAAAAAUCUUUUGCUAAAUCAGUAUUCCAAUAUCUCAGGGGCUGCCAUAAAGAAGAGGGAAUCAAGCUAUUUUCCAAAGCACCUGAAGGCAGGACAAGAAGCAACGGGUGGAAA
Crotalus tigris (Tiger rattlesnake) is the source of this 1813-nucleotide long non-coding RNA. RefSeq lists it as uncharacterized. NCBI's taxonomy places the organism in Eukaryota, Metazoa, Chordata, Lepidosauria, Squamata, Viperidae. The transcript has 3 exons. The record is from RefSeq and is a predicted model, not a curated record.